This 1988-nucleotide ribosomal RNA is filed under the name Orbilia brachychitonis. RNAcentral's name for it is "eukaryotic LSU rRNA". The stretch from base 1356 to 1988 matches the Rfam family "Eukaryotic large subunit ribosomal RNA", at positions 1 to 648 of the family's 3401-position model. Lineage: Eukaryota; Fungi; Ascomycota; Orbiliomycetes; Orbiliales; Orbiliaceae. The record is from RNAcentral.
CCUUAGAUGUUCUGGGCCGCACGCGCGCUACACUGACAGAGCCAACGAGUAUAAACCUUAACCGAGAGGUUUGGGUAAUCUUGUUAAACUCUGUCGUGCUGGGGAUAGAGCAUUGCAAUUAUUGCUCUUCAACGAGGAAUAUCUAGUAAGCGCAAGUCAUCAGCUUGCGUUGAUUACGUCCCUGCCCUUUGUACACACCGCCCGUCGCUACUACCGAUUGAAUGGCUCAGUGAGGCCUUCGGACUGGCUCAGGAAGGUCGGCAACGACCAUCCAGAGCCGGAAAGUUGGUCAAACUUGGUCAUUUAGAGGAAGUAAAAGUCGUAACAAGGUUUGAAUUCUUGCAAAGAUUCAGCUGAUUCUUCUGCAGUGACGCUUAUGAGAAGCCUUUGUGACCCUGCAAAGGGUACCUGCCGCGACUAUAAAAAAGAAUGUGGGUUAUAAAACGCAAGUCGGUUGUUGAAACCGGCCACACUUUCGAAUUGCGGGGACGCCCUAAAGCCAGCUUCUACUAAACCGUUGGGAGAAAUCCUGCGGUGGCCUGUGCUAACACCACAGGGUACAGUAAGAACGAAGCUGGAUGCUUGCAAUGGGUUAUCCGCAGCCAAACUCCUAACGUACAAAUGUGCCAAGGAGCAGGUUCACAGACUAAGUGGAAGUGGGCUGAAGUAGUUCAGCUUAAGAUAUAGUCGGUCCCUUAAAGAAAUUUAUGGGGAGUCACAAGAACUAAAGUUAUGGUUAUUUUUGGAUAACCUAGGGCUGGUCCCGCAGCUUUAUUUCUAAACUUAAACGUUCCGUAGGUGAACCUGCGGAAGGAUCAUUAAUAAACAAAUCUGCAGUAUGGUUAGCCCAGCUGUGGUGUUUAAACCAAUUGUGAACCAAAAAACAUACCUUUGCUUCGGUAGCAGGUUGGUCUGACUCUCUGGGUUGGGCCAGCUCGUCAGCCUGCCGGAGGUUUACUCCAAACUUGUUUUUAAACUAGUCUGAAAACCAUAUUUUCGAAUGAAAAUUAAAACUUUCAACAACGGAUCUCUUGGUUCUCGCAUCGAUGAAGAACGCAGCGAAACGCGAUAGUUAAUGUGAAUUGCAGAAUUCAGUGAAUCAUCGAGUCUUUGAACGCACAUUGCGCCCCUUGGUAUUCCGAUGGGCAUGUCUGUUUGAGCGUCAUUUCAACUCUCUGUACCAGUUAAUUUUGGUUCAGGUCCUGGGCUUUGGUUUUCAAGCUUCACCGCUCGAACCUGGCUUUAAAUUUGCACGCUCUGCGGGUGACCUCCUACCUGACCGAACAUAGUAAAUUUUGAAUUGUUCUACCUGGUUUUUGGUGCACUCUGCCUGAACAACCAUAAUUUUUUAGGUUUGACCUCAGAUCAGACAAGGAUACCCGCUGAACUUAAGCAUAUCAAUAAGCGGAGGAAAAGAAACCAACAGGGAUUGCCUCAGUAACGGCGAGUGAAGCGGCAACAGCUCAAAUUUGAAAUCUGAAGUUUUUGACUUCCGAGUUGUAAUUUGAAGAGGAUGCUUCGGUUGUAGCUUGGGCCUAAGUUCCUUGGAACAGGACGUCGUAGAGGGUGAGAAUCCCGUACACGGCUACCGGCUUUCAAUCAUGUGUAGCUCCUUCGAAGAGUCGAGUUGUUUGGGAAUGCAGCUCAAAAUGGGUGGUAAAUUUCAUCUAAAGCUAAAUACUGGCGAGAGACCGAUAGCGCACAAGUAGAGUGAUCGAAAGAUGAAAAGCACUUUGAAAAGAGAGUUAAACAGUACGUGAAAUUGUUGAAAGGGAAGCGUUUGCAAUCAGACUUACUUUCGGUUGAUCAACGUUCCUUCUGGUUCGUGCACUCUGCCGUUUGUAGGCCAGCAUCGGUUAGAGCGGUGGGACAAAGGCUCCAGGAAUGUGGCUCUCUUCGGGGAGUGUUAUAGCCUGGUGCGUAAUGCCACCUGUUCUGACCGAGGUCCGCGCUUUUGCUAGGAUGCUGGCAUAAUGAUUGUAAACGAC